This 80-nucleotide ribosomal RNA is filed under the name Paenibacillus taichungensis. Its description in RNAcentral is "partial 23S ribosomal RNA". It matches the Rfam family "Bacterial large subunit ribosomal RNA", at positions 2848 to 2925 of the family's 2925-position model. The record is from RNAcentral. Lineage: Bacteria; Bacillati; Bacillota; Bacilli; Caryophanales; Paenibacillaceae. RNAcentral also lists the same sequence under 1 other name.
CGAGGUAGAUAGGCUGGGGGUGGAAGUGCAGCAAUGCAUGGAGCUGACCAGUACUAAUCGGUCGAGGGCUUAUCCAAAUA